Molecule: transfer RNA, 79 nt
Filed under: Candidatus Bathyarchaeota archaeon
Lineage: Archaea; Thermoproteati; Candidatus Bathyarchaeota
Description: tRNA-Pro
Rfam family: tRNA
About the family: Transfer RNA (tRNA) molecules are approximately 80 nucleotides in length.
Source: RNAcentral
GGGGUCGUGGUCUAGUUUGGUCUAAGAUUCGCGCCUGGGGCGUGCGAGGCCCGGGGUUCAAAUCCCCGCGACCCCACCA